Molecule: long non-coding RNA, 913 nt
Organism: Perca flavescens (yellow perch)
Lineage: Eukaryota; Metazoa; Chordata; Actinopteri; Perciformes; Percidae
Exons: 3
Source: RefSeq, a predicted model, not a curated record
UUUCAUCAAGUGCCUCCACAGCUGAUGAUACAGCAGGUUUAUCCACUGCAAAGUUACCAGCACCUGAAAGCGUGGAGCAGUUAGCGGCACCUGAAAGCGUGGAGCAGUUACCGGCAGUUACAUUCACCGAUAUGUCGGUUUCAACCUCAGCCAGCAUGACAGGUCCUUCUACAUCUGCACCUACUGCUAUAGAUUUCCCAUGCACCCCCUCAACAAGCUCCAGCUAUCAAGAUAGAUCAACAGCUCCUCCAAUUGACCCAGUUGAAUGGUCAGCAUCUCUGUCCGACUCAGAAAGGACUGAUCUGGUAAGAAAAGGGCCAGUGACACCUUCACCUUCCCCAAAAAAUUUGAUGGACGAAGCUUUCACUACCACUAUACGUACAGACAAUUAGUUAAUGGGAAAAAAAUCAAGUGAAGCUGGUUAAUUUAUUCAAAGAAAAAUGAUGCAGUUUACUGCUUCUGUUGCAAAUUAUUCUCGAGAAAGUCCGCAAAACUGUCAACAGAGGGACAGCGUGAUUGGGUAAAUGUAGGUGCUUUGCUGAAACAGCAUGAGAAUAGUCCAGAUCAUUGCAAUAAUAUGGUGAAGUGGAAAGACUUUGCCCUUCUUCUUUCUAAGCAGAAGACUAUUGAUGCAACAGAAAUGGCCCUUUUGGAGGCAGAAAAAAAUCGUUGGAGAGAUGUUCUCAUCCGUUUGAUUAGUACUAUUCAGUCUUUGGCAGAGAGGAAUCUUUCACUCAGGGGGUCUGUCGAUACUUUGCAUCAGGCCAACAAUGGGAACUUCCUUAAAGAGGUAGAACUGAUGGCAAAAUUUGACCCGGUGUUAAAAGACCACAUCAGACGAAUUGAUAGUGGAAUGCAGCACAACACGUACCUGGGUAAGACUAUCCAGAAUGAGCUGAUAGAGUGGGUCAGU